CCGGUCCAAGAGGAGGCUAGCUCUACCCCAGACACACACACGCGCUCACACACACUCGUUCAAACACAGUGAAAUAGAGCGGUUCAGAGGACGGAAACGUUCUGUGAAGUAUACACUGCGUGGUUUCUGUGGAUGGCCUGAGUGUCUUCAGCUGCGGCAGAAUCCUCUGAGGAACUGGCCUGACUCAUCUGCGUCUGUGACAGGUCAUGUCCAUGAGCAGGAGUGGAUAACCCAAAGCGCCCAAACCGGCUCACUAACACUCAAAUCCAUGUUUAAAGAUGCUGUCAGGAAAGGAAACGCAUGGAAAAGUUGCUACCAGACUGCUGUCUGAAGACGACGUUUUGUCUGCCAUUUCACAGAGCCGUUUCUCCUUCUGACCUACAGCAGCCAUUUCCUACGCU
RNAcentral lists this long non-coding RNA (401 nucleotides) under Sinocyclocheilus grahami. RNAcentral describes it as "lncRNA (ENSSGRG00000051626.1)". The record is from RNAcentral. Lineage: Eukaryota; Metazoa; Chordata; Actinopteri; Cypriniformes; Cyprinidae.